UCGGGUGAGUAUGCCUGGGGAUCUGCCCAGUCGAGGGGGAUAACAGUUGGAAACGACUGCUAAUACCGCAUACGCCCUACGGGGGAAAGGAGGGGACCUUCGGGCCUUUCGCGAUUGGAUGAACCCAGGUGGGAUUAGCUAGUUGGUGGGGUAAUGGCUCACCAAGGCGACGAUCCCUAGCUGGUCUGAGAGGAUGAUCAGCCACGCUGGAACUGAGACACGGUCCAGACUCCUACGGGAGGCAGCAGUGGGGAAUAUUGCACAAUGGGGGAAACCCUGAUGCAGCCAUGCCGCGUGUGUGAAGAAGGCCUUCGGGUUGUAAAGCACUUUCAGCGAGGAGGAAAGGUUGGCAGCUAAUAUCUGUCAGCUGUGACGUUACUCGCAGAAGAAGCMCCGGCUAACUCCGUGCCAGCCGCCGCGGUAAU
This 425-nucleotide ribosomal RNA is filed under the name Aeromonas sp. Its description in RNAcentral is "bacterial SSU rRNA". It matches the Rfam family "Bacterial small subunit ribosomal RNA", at positions 100 to 524 of the family's 1533-position model. The record is from RNAcentral. Lineage: Bacteria; Pseudomonadati; Pseudomonadota; Gammaproteobacteria; Aeromonadales; Aeromonadaceae.